UCUGUCUGUCUGGUUGUACUGAGCAAAAUGGAUAUUGCAACAAGCCAGGAGAGUGCAUCUGUCGUCCUGGCUGGCAAGGCCGUUAUUGUGAUGAGUGCAUUCCUCAUAUAGGCUGCCGCCAUGGGACUUGUAAAACACAGUGGCAGUGCAUAUGUGAUGAAGGCUGGGGUGGCCUCUUCUGUGACCAAGAUCUCAACUACUGCACCCACCACAAACCAUGCAAAAAUGGAGCCACUUGUCUGAACACUGGCCAAGGCAGUUACACAUGUUCAUGCAAACCUGGUUUCACUGGUGUUGACUGUGAACAUGAAAUCAGCGAGUGUGACAGCAACC
Molecule: long non-coding RNA, 333 nt
Organism: Terrapene triunguis (Three-toed box turtle)
Lineage: Eukaryota; Metazoa; Chordata; Testudines; Emydidae
Exons: 3
Source: RefSeq, a predicted model, not a curated record